RNAcentral lists this ribosomal RNA (497 nucleotides) under uncultured bacterium. RNAcentral's name for it is "partial 16S ribosomal RNA". It matches the Rfam family "Bacterial small subunit ribosomal RNA", at positions 28 to 507 of the family's 1533-position model. The record is from RNAcentral.
GAUGAACGCUGGCGGCGUGCCUAAUACAUGCGAGUCGAGCGAACGGACGAGAAGCUUGCUUCUCUGAUGUUAGCGGCGGACGGGUGAGUAACACGUGGAUAACCUACCUAUAAGACUGGGAUAACUUCGGGAAACCGGAGCUAAUACCGGAUAAUAUUUUGAACCGCAUGGUUCAAAAGUGAAAGACGGUCUUGCUGUCACUUAUCGAUGGAUCCGCGCUGCAUUAGCUAGUUGGUAAGGUAACGGCUUACCAAGGCAACGAUGCAUAGCCGACCUGAGAGGGUGAUCGGCCACACGGGAACUGAGACACGGUCCAGACUCCUACGGGAGGCAGCAGUAGGGAAUCUUCCGCAAUGGGCGAAAGCCUGACGGAGCAACGCCGCGUGAGUGAUGAAGGUCUUCGGAGCGUAAAACUCUGUUAUGAGGGAAGAACAGAUGUGUAAGUAACUGUGCACAUCUUGACGGUACCUAAUCAGAAAGCCACGGCUAACUACGUG